AACCUCAAAUCAGGUAGGAUUGCCCGCUGAACUUAAGCAUAUCAAUAAGCGGAGGAAAAGAAACUAACAAGGAUUCCCCUAGUAACUGCGAGUGAAGCGGGAAGAGCUCAAAUUUAAAAUCUGGCAGUUCUCUGAGCUGUCCGAGUUGUAAUCUAGAGAAGUGCUUUCCGUGCUGGACCGUGUACAAGUCUCUUGGAAUGGAGCGUCAUAGAGGGUGAGAAUCCCGUCUUUGACACGGACUACCAGUGCUUUUGUGAUGCACUCUCGAAGAGUCGAGUUGUUUGGGAAUGCAGCUCAAAAUGGGUGGUAAAUUCCAUCUAAAGCUAAAUAUAGGCGAGAGACCGAUAGCGAACAAGUACCGUGAGGGAAAGAUGAAAAGAACUUUGAAAAGAGAGUUAAACAGUACGUGAAAUUGUUGAAAGGGAAACGC
This 430-nucleotide ribosomal RNA is filed under the name uncultured fungus. Its description in RNAcentral is "eukaryotic LSU rRNA". It matches the Rfam family "Eukaryotic large subunit ribosomal RNA", at positions 1 to 422 of the family's 3401-position model. Lineage: Eukaryota; Fungi. The record is from RNAcentral.